Molecule: unclassified non-coding RNA, 264 nt
Filed under: uncultured fungus
Lineage: Eukaryota; Fungi
Description: partial contains small subunit ribosomal RNA, internal transcribed spacer 1, and 5.8S ribosomal RNA
Rfam family: Eukaryotic small subunit ribosomal RNA (bases 1-73)
Source: RNAcentral
GCAAACUUGGUCAUUUAGAGGAAGUAAAAGUCGUAACAAGGUUUCCGUAGGUGAACCUGCGGAAGGAUCAUUACAAGAUGCCCGGGGCUCCGGCCCCGGACCCAUCCACCCUUUGUACUACCGUAACCUGUUGCUCGAGCCGGCGCCGCAAGGCACCGGCAAGAGAUAACCACAACCUUUGUUCUGGAGUGUCUGAGAAACUUGCAAUAGCAUAAAACUUUCAACAACGGAUCUCUUGGUUCCAGCAUCGAUGAAGAACGCAGC